AACAGAUUAAAUAUAUUAAUUUGGAUUUAAUUAUUUAUAAUCUGA
RNAcentral lists this transfer RNA (45 nucleotides) under Tetranychus truncatus. Its description in RNAcentral is "tRNA-Pro". The record is from RNAcentral. Lineage: Eukaryota; Metazoa; Arthropoda; Arachnida; Trombidiformes; Tetranychidae.